This 1995-nucleotide long non-coding RNA is filed under the name Homo sapiens (human). RNAcentral describes it as "HSALNT0351567". The record is from RNAcentral. Lineage: Eukaryota; Metazoa; Chordata; Mammalia; Primates; Hominidae.
GCCACGUAAGAGGUGACUUUGCUGCUCCUCCGCCUUCCACCAUGAUUGUGAGGCCUCCCCAGCCAUGUGGAACUAUCUUUGCAUGUUCUGUCCAGCAAGUUCUCUCUCCAUGAAGACCAUACCACCUAAAGUGACCCCAUCUCAGUCUGUCUGUUGGUAGACCUCCUGCAAUCAACUGAAGGCCUGAAUAAAACAAAAGACUGGCCUCCUCCCAAGCAAGAGUGAAAAUUUGACAUAUCCCCAGACUGGACUGAGUGAGCUGCUUUAGGAAGCUGUAUGUUUUUGGAAUUUAAUUCAAAUUUAAAUGAGGUUUCCUGCAUGUUUGGACAUUAUACCUCAGAGCCGUGGGUGCCAGAGCCCUGUCCUAUGAAUGUGUCUCUUCUGAAAAUUGCUCUAGGGAUUGGUUUUACUGAUUGGACAAAAAAUAUUUUGAACCAAUUAUAACAAAAUAGCUCAUUUCUCUUUUAUAUACAUCAUGCAAUGUCUUCACAAUCAGAUUAUGAGAUCUCUAAUUACAGAAGAGGAUUUUUAUAUUUCCUACUAGCAAACAUUUGUCCACAAAAGUUAUGAAAAACAGCUGUUAUCUGGAAUGUGGCUUGAAAUAUAUCCUGUUACUCUAAAAUGGUAUUGAUAUGAUUUAUAGUUGUCCUAUUGCAGCGAUUUUAUAAGAACUCAAUCCACAGCUCUUCUAACAUGUCUUGACAGCUUUAUUGAGAUACAAUUUACACAUUAAAAAACUGCAUGCAUUUAAUAUGUACAAUUUGAAUAUUUUUGGCAUAUCUAUGCCCAUAGGAAUUUAUCAUCUACAACCAAGAAAAUCAACAUCUCCAUCAGUCCCCUAAAUUUUCUUCUGUCCCUAUGUAAUCCCUCUUCCUACCUGCCAUCACUAGGUGGUAUGGGCUAAAUUGUGCACUGCCCAUCCCCUCCCCUCCCAUUUUAUAUGUUGAAGUCCUAAUCCCUAGCACCUCAAAACAUGACUGUGUUUGGAAACAGGCCUUCAAAGAGGUGAUUAAGCUACAACAAGGCUGUUAGGAUGAACCCUAAUCUGAUCUGACUGGUGUUCCUAUAAGAAAAGAAAAUUAAGACACACAAAGAGAUACCAGGGUAUAUUUACACAUAGAGGAGACCGCGUGAGGUACAAAGAGAGAAGGCAGCCAUCUGCAAGCUAACAAAAGAAAUCUCAGAAUGAAAUCAACCCACCAACACCUGAUUUCAGACUUCUAGCUUCUGAAACUGAGAGAAAAUAUCUGUUGUUUAAACCAUCAGUCUGUGGUACUUUCUUAGAGCAGCCCUAGCAAACUAUCAUACCAGGCAACCACUGACUAGCCUUCUGUCACUAUAGAUUAGAUUGUAUUUUCUGGAAUUUUAUAUAAAUGUACUCUUUUGGUCUGGCUUGUUUCAUUCAGUAUAAGUUAUUUGAGAUCCAUCCAUGUUGGGUUGUAUCAAUAAUUCAUUCCUUUUUAUUAUUAAUAUUUUGUUGAAUGGAUAUACCACAGUUUAUUCAUCCAUUUAUUUGUUACUGGACAUUUAGGUUGUUUUCUGGUUGAACUGUUACAAAUCAAGCUUCUAUGGACAUUUAUUUACAAGUCUUUUAUGAAUAUGUGCUUUCUUUGAUCUUGGGUAAAUAUCCAAGGUUGGAAUGGCUGGGUCAUAUGAUAGGAGUAUGCUAACCUCUUUAAGAAACUGCUAAACUAUUUUCCAAAAAUUGUACCAUUUUACAUUCCCACCAGCAGUCUUUGAGAGCUCCAGUUGCUCCGUAUCUUUGCCUAAAACUAGUAUGGUCCAUCUUUUUUAAUGUAAUUGUUCUAAUAGGUAUAUAACAGUAUGCUAUUGUGCUUUUUAAAUUUGCAUUGUAUUAUGACAGUGGUAUUGAUGAUCAUCUUUUCAUUGCUUAUUUACCGAAGUACAUCUUUUUUGGUAAAGUGUUUACAUUUUUGCAUUCUUUUUUGAGUUGUUUUUUUAUUACUGAGUUUUGCAGUUUUUAAGUAUAUUCUG